RNAcentral lists this ribosomal RNA (656 nucleotides) under Salmonella enterica. RNAcentral describes it as "partial 23S ribosomal RNA". It matches the Rfam family "Bacterial large subunit ribosomal RNA", at positions 1 to 688 of the family's 2925-position model. Lineage: Bacteria; Pseudomonadati; Pseudomonadota; Gammaproteobacteria; Enterobacterales; Enterobacteriaceae. RNAcentral also lists the same sequence under 3 other names. The record is from RNAcentral.
GGGUUGUGAGGUUAAGCGACUAAGCGUACACGGUGGAUGCCCUGGCAGUCAGAGGCGAUGAAGGACGUGCUAAUCUGCGAUAAGCGCCGGUAAGGUGAUAUGAACCGUUAUAACCGGCGAUUUCCGAAUGGGGAAACCCAGUGUGAUUCGUCACACUAUCAUUAACUGAAUCCAUAGGUUAAUGAGGCGAACCGGGGGAACUGAAACAUCUAAGUACCCCGAGGAAAAGAAAUCAACCGAGAUUCCCCCAGUAGCGGCGAGCGAACGGGGAGGAGCCCAGAGCCUGAAUCAGCAUGUGUGUUAGUGGAAGCGUCUGGAAAGGUGCGCGAUACAGGGUGACAGCCCCGUACACAAAAGCGCAUGUGCUGUGAGCUCGAUGAGUAGGGCGGGACACGUGGUAUCCUGUCUGAAUAUGGGGGGACCAUCCUCCAAGGCUAAAUACUCCUGACUGACCGAUAGUGAACCAGUACCGUGAGGGAAAGGCGAAAAGAACCCCGGCGAGGGGAGUGAAAAAGAACCUGAAACCGUGUACGUACAAGCAGUGGGAGCACAGGUUUACCUGUGUGACUGCGUACCUUUUGUAUAAUGGGUCAGCGACUUAUAUUCUGUAGCAAGGUUAACCGUAUAGGGGAGCCGUAGGGAAACCGAGUCUUAAC